This 141-nucleotide ribosomal RNA is filed under the name Vibrio splendidus. RNAcentral describes it as "partial 23S ribosomal RNA". It matches the Rfam family "Bacterial large subunit ribosomal RNA", at positions 1 to 133 of the family's 2925-position model. The record is from RNAcentral. RNAcentral also lists the same sequence under 1 other name. Lineage: Bacteria; Pseudomonadati; Pseudomonadota; Gammaproteobacteria; Vibrionales; Vibrionaceae.
GUUGUAUGGUUAAGUGACUAAGCGUACACGGUGGAUGCCUUGGCAGUCAGAGGCGAUGAAAGGCGUAAUAACUUGCGAUAAGCCCAGAUUAGGUAGUAAUAACCUUUUGAGUCUGGGAUUCCUGAAUGGGGAAACCCACUU